AGAGUUUGAUCCUGGCUCAGGACGAACGCUGGCGGCGUGCCUAACACAUGCAAGUCGAGCGGAGUCAGCAAGAGGAAGUUUUCGGAUGGAAUCUUGUUGAUUUAGCGGCGGACGGGUGAGUAACGCGUGAGCGACCAACCUUGCACAGGGGGAUAACGGACCGAAAGGUUCACUAAUACCGCAUGAGACCACGGUGUUGCAUGACACAGGGGUCAAAGGAGGAAUCCGGUGCAAGACGGGCUCGCGUCCGAUUAGGUAGUUGGAGGGGUAACGGCCCACCAAGCCUAUGAUCGGUAGCCGACCUGAGAGGGUGAUCGGCCACAUUGGAACUGAGAUACGGUCCAAACUCCUACGGGAGGCAGCAGUGGGGAAUAUUGGGCAAUGGGGGAAACCCUGACCCAGCAACGCCGCGUGAAGGAAGAAGGUUUUCGGAUUGUAAACUUCUGUCCUUGGUGAAGAGAAGAAGACGGUAGCCAAGGAGGAAGCCCCGGCUAACUACGUGCCAGCAGCCGCGGUAAUACGUAGGGGGCAAGCGUUGUCCGGAAUGAUUGGGCGUAAAGGGCGCGUAGGCGGCUUUGUAAGUCUGGAGUGAAAGUCCUCUUUUCAAGGGAGGAAUUGCUUUGGAAACUAUAGAGCUUGAGUGCAGGAGAGGUUAUCGGAAUUCCCGGUGUAGCGGUGAAAUGCGUAGAUAUCGGGAGGAACAUCGGUGGCGAAGGCGGGUAACUGGACUGCAACUGACGCUGAGGCGCGAAAGUGUGGGGAGCAAACAGGAUUAGAUACCCUGGUAGUCCACACGGUAAACGAUGAAUGCUAGUGUAGGAGGUAUCGACCC
RNAcentral lists this ribosomal RNA (832 nucleotides) under uncultured bacterium. RNAcentral describes it as "bacterial SSU rRNA". It matches the Rfam family "Bacterial small subunit ribosomal RNA", at positions 8 to 838 of the family's 1533-position model. The record is from RNAcentral.